CACAUCAAAAAGUGUUUUAGCCGAGAAAUAUUACUUUUGAAACAAGCCUAAAUCAUUUUACGUACCUUGCUUUCACAAUUGUUUCAACAGUUCUUUUUCCUGUGGACUUAGUUGACCAUACUGAGUAUCAACACUUCUGGUCACCUGUCCGUCAGCUAUUAUCACUAGAACAUGGUAUUGCCCACCACUUUGCUUAACAAUAGUAAUGGCCAUUUCAAU
RNAcentral lists this unclassified non-coding RNA (219 nucleotides) under Hevea brasiliensis (rubber tree). Lineage: Eukaryota; Viridiplantae; Streptophyta; Magnoliopsida; Malpighiales; Euphorbiaceae. The record is from RNAcentral.